RNAcentral lists this transfer RNA (72 nucleotides) under Salmo salar (Atlantic salmon). It matches the Rfam family "tRNA". Rfam says of the family: Transfer RNA (tRNA) molecules are approximately 80 nucleotides in length. Their secondary structure includes four short double-helical elements and three loops (D, anti-codon, and T loops). Further hydrogen bonds mediate the characteristic L-shaped molecular structure. tRNAs have two regions of fundamental functional importance: the anti-codon, which is responsible for specific mRNA codon recognition, and the 3' end, to which the tRNAs corresponding amino acid is attached (by aminoacyl-tRNA synthetases). tRNAs cope with the degeneracy of the genetic code in two manners: having more than one tRNA (with a specific anti-codon) for a particular amino acid; and 'wobble' base-pairing, i.e. permitting non-standard base-pairing at the 3rd anti-codon position. Lineage: Eukaryota; Metazoa; Chordata; Actinopteri; Salmoniformes; Salmonidae. The record is from Rfam by way of RNAcentral.
UCCCGUGUGGCUCAGUUGGUAGAGCAUGGUGUUUGCAACGCCAGGGUUUUGGGUUUGUUUCCCACAGGGGAC